This 497-nucleotide ribosomal RNA is filed under the name uncultured bacterium. Its description in RNAcentral is "partial 16S ribosomal RNA". It matches the Rfam family "Bacterial small subunit ribosomal RNA", at positions 28 to 507 of the family's 1533-position model. The record is from RNAcentral.
GAUGAACGCUGGCGGCGUGCCUAAUACAUGCAAGUCGAGCGAACAGACGAGGAGCUUGCUCCUUCGACGUUAGCGGCGGACGGGUGAGUAACACGUAGGUAACCUACCUAUAAGACUGGGAUAACUUCGGGAAACCGGAGCUAAUACCGGAUAAUAUUUCGAACCGCAUGGUUCGAUAGUGAAAGAUGGCUUUGCUAUCACUUAUAGAUGGACCUGCGCCGUAUUAGCUAGUUGGUAAGGUAACGGCUUACCAAGGCAACGAUACGUAGCCGACCUGAGAGGGUGAUCGGCCACACUGGAACUGAGACACGGUCCAGACUCCUACGGGAGGCAGCAGUAGGGAAUCUUCCGCAAUGAGCGAAAGCCUGACGGAGCAACGCCGCGUGAGUGAUGAAGGUCUUCGGAUCGUAAAACUCUGUUAUUAGGGAAGAACAAACGUGUAAGUAACUGUGCACGUCUUGACGGUACCUAAUCAGAAAGCCACGGCUAACUACGUG